GCCUACGGGGGGCAGCAGUCGGGAAUAUUGCGCAAUGGAGGAAACUCUGACGCAGUGACGCCGCGUAUAGGAAGAAGGUUUUCGGAUUGUAAACUAUUGUCCACAGGGAAGAUAAAAGACUGUACCUGUGAAGAAAGCUCCGGCUAACUACGUGCCAGCAGCCGCGGUAAUACGUAGGGAGCAAGCGUUAUCCGGAUUUAUUGGGUUUAAAGGGUGCGCAGGCGGUCUGUUAAGUCAGCGGUCAAAGCCCGGGGCUCAACCCCGGCCCGCCGUUGAAACUGGCAGUCUCGAGUUGGAGAGAAGUA
This 305-nucleotide ribosomal RNA is filed under the name uncultured bacterium. RNAcentral's name for it is "bacterial SSU rRNA". It matches the Rfam family "Bacterial small subunit ribosomal RNA", at positions 337 to 659 of the family's 1533-position model. The record is from RNAcentral.